This 486-nucleotide ribosomal RNA is filed under the name uncultured bacterium. RNAcentral describes it as "bacterial SSU rRNA". It matches the Rfam family "Bacterial small subunit ribosomal RNA", at positions 28 to 498 of the family's 1533-position model. The record is from RNAcentral.
GAUGAACGCUAGCUACAGGCUUAACACAUGCAAGUCGAGGGAAACGAUAGAGAAGCUUGCUUUUCUAGGCGUCGACCGGCGCACGGGUGAGUAACGCGUAUCCAACCUGCCCACCACUUGGGGAUAACCUUGCGAAAGUAAGACUAAUACCCAAUGACGUCUCUAGAAGACAUCUGAAAAGAGAUUUAAAGAUUUAUCGGUGAUGGAUGGGGAUGCGUCUGAUUAGCUUGUUGGCGGGGUAACGGCCCACCAAGGCGACGAUCAGUAGGGGUUCUGAGAGGAAGGUCCCCCCACAUUGGAACUGAGACACGGUCCAAAACUCCUACGGGAGGCAGCAGUGAGGAAUAUUGGUCAAUGGACGAGAGUCUGAACCAGCCAAGUAGCGUGCAGGAUGACGGCCCUAUGGGUUGUAAAACUGCUUUUAUAAGGGAAUAAAACGUGAGUCUCGUGAGACUUUUUGCAUGACCUUAUGAAUAAGGACCGGCU